This 254-nucleotide ribosomal RNA is filed under the name uncultured bacterium. RNAcentral describes it as "partial 16S ribosomal RNA". It matches the Rfam family "Bacterial small subunit ribosomal RNA", at positions 524 to 776 of the family's 1533-position model. The record is from RNAcentral.
UACGUAGGGGGCAAGCGUUGUCCGGAUUUAUUGGGCGUAAAGAGCUCGUAGGCGGUUUGGUAAGUCAGGUGUGAAAUCUCCACGCUCAACGUGGAGGGGCCACCUGAUACUGCCAUGACUGGAGUCCGGUAGAGGAGUGUGGAAUUCCCGGUGUAGCGGUGAAAUGCGCAGAUAUCAGGAGGAACACCGAUGGCGAAGGCAGGUCUCUGGGCCACUACUGACGCUGAGACGCGAAAGCGUGGGGAGCGAACAGG